UUUGGCACCAUGACGAUCAACUUAUAAACUAUGUAGUUAGCAACUUUAUUGCUUAUUGGUAUAAAGCAUAGUAGCGGAUUGACAUGGUGUCAGA
Ciona intestinalis (vase tunicate) is the source of this 94-nucleotide microRNA precursor. The record is from Ensembl. NCBI's taxonomy places the organism in Eukaryota, Metazoa, Chordata, Ascidiacea, Phlebobranchia, Cionidae.